GAUGAACGCUGGCGGCGUGCCUAAUACAUGCAAGUCGAGCGAACGGACGAGAAGCUUGCUUCUCUGAUGUUAGCGGCGGACGGGUGAGUAACACGUGGAUAACCUACCUAUAAGACUGGGAUAACUUCGGGAAACCGGAGCUAAUACCGGAUAAUAUUUUGAACCGCAUGGUUCAAAAGUGAAAGACGGUCUUGCUGCCACUUAUAGAUGGAUCCGCGCUGCAUUAGCUAGUUGGUAAGGUAACGGCUUACCAAGGCAACGAUGCAUAGCCGACCUGAGAGGGUGAUCGGCCACACUGGAACUGAGACACGGUCCAGACUCCUACGGGAGGCAGCAGUAGGGAAUCUUCCGCAAUGGGCGAAAGCCUGACGGAGCAACGCCGCGUGAGUGAUGAAGGUCUUCGGAUCGUAAAACUCUGUUAUUAGGGAAGAACACAUGUGUAAGUAACUGUGCACAUCUUGACGGUACCUAAUCAGAAAGCCACGGCUAACUACGUGCCAGCAGCCGCGGUAAUACGUAGGUGGCAAGCGUUAUCCGGAAUUAUUGGGCGUAAAGCGCGCGUAGGCGGUUUUUUAAGUCUGAUGUGAAAGCCCACGGCUCAACCGUGGAGGGUCAUUAGAAACUGGAAAACUUGAGUGCAGAAGAGGAAAGUGGAAUUCCAUGUGUAGCGGUGAAAUGCGCAGAGAUAUGGAGGAACACCAGUGGCGAAGGCGACUUUCUGGUCUGUAACUGACGCUGAUGUGCGAAAGCGUGGGGAUCAAACAGGAUUAGAUACCCUGGUAGUUCACGCCGUAAACGAUGAGUGCUAAGUGUUAGGGGGUUUCCGCCCCUUAGUGCUGCAGCUAACGCAUUAAGCACUCCGCCUGGGGAGUACGACCGCAAGGUUGAAACUCAAAGGAAUUGACGGGGACCCGCACAAGCGGUGGAGCAUGUGGUUUAAUUCGAAGCAACGCGAAGAACCUUACCAAAUCUUGACAUCCUUUGACAACUCUAGAGAUAGAGCUUUCCCCUUCGGGGGACAAAGUGACAGGUGGUGCAUGGUUGUCGUCAGCUCGUGUCGUGAGAUGUUGGGUUAAGUCCCGCAACGAGCGCAACCCUUAAGCUUAGUUGCCAUCAUUAAGUUGGGCACUCUAAGUUGACUGCCGGUGACAAACCGGAGGAAGGUGGGGAUGACGUCAAAUCAUCAUGCCCCUUAUGAUUUGGGCUACACACGUGCUACAAUGGACAAUACAAAGGGCAGCGAAACCGCGAGGUCAAGCAAAUCCCAUAAAGUUGUUCUCAGUUCGGAUUGUAGUCUGCAACUCGACUACAUGAAGCUGGAAUCGCUAGUAAUCGUAGAUCAGCAUGCUACGGUGAAUACGUUCCCGGGUCU
This 1372-nucleotide ribosomal RNA is filed under the name uncultured bacterium. RNAcentral's name for it is "bacterial SSU rRNA". It matches the Rfam family "Bacterial small subunit ribosomal RNA", at positions 28 to 1381 of the family's 1533-position model. The record is from RNAcentral.